GGUUCCAUAGUGUAGUGGUUAGCACAUCUGCUUUACACGCAGAAGGUCCUGGAUUCGUGCCCCAGCAGAACCA
This 73-nucleotide transfer RNA is filed under the name Pteropus alecto (black flying fox). It matches the Rfam family "tRNA". From Rfam's summary of the family: Transfer RNA (tRNA) molecules are approximately 80 nucleotides in length. Their secondary structure includes four short double-helical elements and three loops (D, anti-codon, and T loops). Lineage: Eukaryota; Metazoa; Chordata; Mammalia; Chiroptera; Pteropodidae. The record is from Rfam by way of RNAcentral.